This 465-nucleotide ribosomal RNA is filed under the name Vreelandella stevensii. RNAcentral describes it as "partial 16S ribosomal RNA". It matches the Rfam family "Bacterial small subunit ribosomal RNA", at positions 338 to 795 of the family's 1533-position model. The record is from RNAcentral. Lineage: Bacteria; Pseudomonadati; Pseudomonadota; Gammaproteobacteria; Oceanospirillales; Halomonadaceae.
CCUACGGGGGGCUGCAGUGGGGAAUAUUGGACAAUGGGGGGAAGCCUGAUCCAGCCAUGCCGCGUGUGUGAAGAAGGCCCUCGGGUUGUAAAGCACUUUCAGUGAGGAAGAACGCCUGGUGGUUAAUACCCAUCUGGAAAGACAUCACUCACAGAAGAAGCACCGGCUAACUCCGUGCCAGCAGCCGCGGUAAUACGGAGGGUGCGAGCGUUAAUCGGAAUUACUGGGCGUAAAGCGCGCGUAGGUGGCUUGAUAAGCCGGUUGUGAAAGCCCCGGGCUCAACCUGGGAACGGCAUCCGGAACUGUCAAGCUAGAGUGCAGGAGAGGAAGGUAGAAUUCCCGGUGUAGCGGUGAAAUGCGUAGAGAUCGGGAGGAAUACCAGUGGCGAAGGCGGCCUUCUGGACUGACACUGACACUGAGGUGCGAAAGCGUGGGUAGCAAACAGGAUUAGAUACCCCUGUAGUC